RNAcentral lists this ribosomal RNA (658 nucleotides) under uncultured Bacteroidota bacterium. Its description in RNAcentral is "bacterial SSU rRNA". It matches the Rfam family "Bacterial small subunit ribosomal RNA", at positions 50 to 697 of the family's 1533-position model. The record is from RNAcentral. Lineage: Bacteria; Pseudomonadati; Bacteroidota.
AACACAUGCAAGUCGAGGGGCAGCGGGAAGUCAGCUUGCUGACUUUGCCGGCGACCGGCGCACGGGUGAGUAACACGUAUCCAACCUUCCCGUUACUCUGGAAUAGCCUUUCGAAAGAAAGAUUAAUACCGGAUAGUAUCGAGAGAUUGCAUGAUUACCCGAUUAAAGAUUCAUCGGUAACGGAUGGGGAUGCGUUCCAUUAGGCAGUUGGCGGGGUAACGGCCCACCAAACCUACGAUGGAUAGGGGUUCUGAGAGGAAGGUCCCCCACAUUGGAACUGAGACACGGUCCAAACUCCUACGGGAGGCAGCAGUGAGGAAUAUUGGUCAAUGGGCGAGAGCCUGAACCAGCCAAGUAGCGUGAAGGAUGACUGCCCUACGGGUUGUAAACUUCUUUUAUAAGGGAAUAAAGUAUUCUACGUGUAGAGUUUUGUAUGUACCUUAUGAAUAAGCAUCGGCUAACUCCGUGCCAGCAGCCGCGGUAAUACGGAGGAUGCGAGCGUUAUCCGGAUUUAUUGGGUUUAAAGGGAACGUAGACGGCCGUUUAAGUCAGCUGUGAAAUGGUGCGGCUCAACCGUAGCACUGCAGUUGAAACUGGACGGCUUGAGUGCAGUUGAGGCAGGCGGAAUUCGUGGUGUAGCGGUGAAAUGCUUAGAUAU